UGAUUCUCAGAUCACCCUGCUUCACUUAUUGAUCUCUUUGAUUCAGUGCAUUACAGCCCAAAAACUUCUCCCUCCCCCUCUCCCUUUAAUCAGCGUAGAUCAUGUUUCAGCAGGGCUUUAAUGGACUCUUGAGGAUAGUCAUAGAGUGCUUUACCCUUAUGACUUGGUGGCUGUGUAAUCAGUCCACUGGCUUAAAAUCCAUCUGAUUUUCUGGAAUUCUUCUGAAGAGAACUGAAAGGAGGCCGACAGUGACAGAAUUGCACUGCAGGAGACACUGAACUGAGCUGUGUGCCAAAGCUUUAUAAAUUGUCUCCCAUUUGUCCUGUGCGCAGCAGUUUCCACAAGAUACAGUUUUGUCUAGUGUGUUGCAUGACUGGGGAUGGAACAAAUGAGGAAUUCUGUCAAAUGGCCUAAGUAGUGCUUCAAAUGGUCUAUCGACUAAAAAAGAACAUGCUGACAAAGAUCAUUGCUGCGGGUGAAUCAUAAGUAUAGCAAAUUUAAUCCAGUCACAGCUGUAUGUAAUUACUACAGCGAGGAUUUCAGAUGCCAUGCAGGAGUGCUGUGGCGGUGGCUGGACAGCCGUUGCAAUGAAGGCUAAAUAGGCACAUAUAAUAGGGAAGAACUCUGCACUGAAGAAACCAUAAUCAUCAGCUGCAUGAGAUGCUCCAGUAGUUACACUCCAAUAGUGUUGUGUUGCGUUAUUUGGUUUCUUCCUGAUUCUGCCCGUUUGUGGUUGUCGACUCAAAUGCAGAUUAGAGCCUCUGUCCUGGAGAUGAGAGGUGCAGGGCCAAAC
This is a non-coding RNA of Zonotrichia albicollis (white-throated sparrow), 793 nucleotides long. Lineage: Eukaryota; Metazoa; Chordata; Aves; Passeriformes; Passerellidae. The record is from RefSeq and is a predicted model, not a curated record.